ACGAUCCAAGGGGGUCUUUGGAUAUGCCCAAAAGAAGGACAUUGAUCUAACAUGUUUUUUUCAUAUACCGUCACUAAACACAUUUAAAUCAUGUUGGAUUGAAAUGUGUCAUUUGUAUUUGAGUUGUGCAUAUUUAUAUCAGGUUACUGGAACAUGAUUUUGAUAUGUAAAACGUUACUAAUAGGCUACUCCUGACAAGCUGGUGGCAGUAGAGUGUUAUGAAUGCAACCAUGAAUGACAUUCACACGAGACCAUGCGAAGAAGACCAACAUCAACGGACAUUUUUGACUUUCGCGCCCUUGGCUGCUUGGUAGCAGGUCCACCACACACCCCCAUUCAAAAACAUUGUUGCACCAGCAGGAGAUUAUCAGCGACAUGCCCAUGGCCACCGACUUCAAGUCCUGCUGGCCAGAAAUGUUGGAUAUUGGAGAGAUCCAUGCAGAGUUAACUCGUUACCACUAUGCCACUGCAGUUAAAGUUUCUUUCCCAGCUGGACCUCCACUGCGAUGACCUGGUGAAAAUCUUCCAGAAGAGGGGAGGGCACACCGCAAGAAAACUGCAGUCAGUGGUAAGUAAAGGUGCCCCACUUCCUGUCCUUGAGGUGAACUUGUUAGUUUUCUUCAAUGCAUUUAUACCUGGUAUGACUUGGCGUUUCAAUCCCCAGCCCUUCUCAACACACGCGUGCCUAAGCCUACCGGUAGUUUGGUAAUGUCACAAUGUGAUGUUAAUGUCAUAUUUCUCAAUUCAUCUGACUGGGCGGUGGGCUGAGGGCAUGUGGAAACAAAGAAUGUUGUCAACCUGAACACUCCAUUUUGCAUUGAUAGGAAAAUGAUUAAGUAAUGAAUAUGUUUUGCUUAUCAAGAUCAUGUUUUUUGACAGACAUUUGUGUUCCACCAGCAGGAGAUCAUCAGCGACAUGCCCAUGGCCACCGACUUCAAGUCCUGCUGGCCAGAAAUGUUGGAUAUUGGAGAGAUCCAUGCAGAGUUGACGCGUCACCACUGCCACUGCAGUUAAAGUUUCUUUCCCAGCUGGACCGCCAUUGCGAUGACCUGGUGAAAAUUUUCCAGAAGAGGGGAGAGCAAACCGCAAGAAAACUGCAGUCAUUGCAGGAGAUCAUCAGCGACAUGCCCAUGGCCACCGACUUCAGGUCCUGCUGGCCAGAAAUGUUGGAUAUUGGAGAGAUCCAUGCAGAUCCAUCCAUUACCACUAUGCCACUGCAGUUAAAGUUUCUUUCCCAGCUGGACCUUCACUGUGAUGACCUGGUGAAAAUCUUCUAGAAGAGGGGAGGGCAAACCGCAAGAAAACUGCAGUCAGUGGAUUUCACUGCAGCUCAGCAAACGGCCAUGGGGAUAAAGCUCUAUGACGAUGGACAAUAUGGACGUUCACAUUGUGUGAGAAGGUGUUGGAAGUUCUUGGUGAUCUUGCCUGUGGCUCUGGCUGUAGUGAGGCUUUUUGUUUUGGAAUUAUCUCGCCCAGAAAAAUCUGUGUUUGAAAGAAGUCUGUAGUGAGGCCUCAAACACACUUUACUUUAGUGUGACCUUUACCAUCUAGUAACUUGGCCUGCUUCUUGGAGAUCUUGACUGUGUGGCUCUGGCUUUAGUGACUGUUUGGGCUUUUCUUUUCUUUUCUUUUCUUACAUUUUCAGAAUGGAUGCUAGCCACUCAUCAGUUUUUAUCCAUUUCCAAGUAUUCAUAAUGACUGGGAAUAUUACAAUUCAUACAAGGUGGGAAGGUGGCUGUUCACCAUUUUGGAUUUGUUGUAAUGGACCUCUUUGGCGGCAAAACUUACUGUACUUUGAUCAGAUCAGUAAAUAUUAGUUUAUUACUAAGGAAACAUUCAUGAAAAGAUAUAAUUUGUGAAUGGGCGACUGAAAUGAUAUGCUGUAUUUUUAAGUUACCCCAGAAAAUGAUAAUGGUGCUAGAGGUUACAGUAUCUGCCCGAAUUGUCACUGAAAAUGUUGCGUAGUGUGUAGUUAUGCAAGACACUUCACUGCAUAUUGCGGUCUUCAGAUUCAUUUCAAAGAGCAAAUUGUAAAUGUGUUGCCUCUAUUUAAUGUAAUGCGUAAAAUGGAUUGUGAUUAUGAUCUGUGAAUUCAGUCUGUUCUACUCAUGUGUCUGACCUGCACUAAAGGUAUAUCCGAUGUCAUGAAUCAUUUGUUUAAAUAAAAGGAAAUUUAGAGGUACAUAUAUUUGUA
Molecule: long non-coding RNA, 2194 nt
Organism: Engraulis encrasicolus (European anchovy)
Lineage: Eukaryota; Metazoa; Chordata; Actinopteri; Clupeiformes; Engraulidae
Exons: 7
Source: RefSeq, a predicted model, not a curated record